AUUGAACGCUGGCGGCAUGCCCUACACAUGCAAGUCGAACGGCAGCACGGGUGCUUGCACCUGGUGGCGAGUGGCGAACGGGUGAGUAAUACAUCGGAACAUGUCCUGUAGUGGGGGAUAGCCCGGCGAAAGCCGGAUUAAUACCGCAUACGAUCUACGGAUGAAAGCGGGGGACCUUCGGGCCUCGCGCUAUAGGGUUGGCCGGUGGCUGAUUAGCUAGUUGGUGGGGUAAAGGCCUACCAAGGCGACGAUCAGUAGCUGGUCUGAGAGGACGACCAGCCACACUGGGACUGAGACACGGCCCAGACUCCUACGGGAGGCAGCAGUGGGGAAUUUUGGACAAUGGGCGAAAGCCUGAUCCAGCAAGGCCGCGUGUGUGAAGAAGGCCUUCGGGUUGUAAAGCACUUUUGUCCGGAAAGAAAUCCUUGGCCCUAAUACGGUCGGGGGAUGACGGUACCGGAAGAAUAAGCACCGGCUAACUACGUG
Molecule: ribosomal RNA, 486 nt
Filed under: uncultured bacterium
Lineage: Bacteria
Description: partial 16S ribosomal RNA
Rfam family: Bacterial small subunit ribosomal RNA
Source: RNAcentral